This 301-nucleotide ribosomal RNA is filed under the name uncultured bacterium. RNAcentral's name for it is "partial 16S ribosomal RNA". It matches the Rfam family "Bacterial small subunit ribosomal RNA", at positions 509 to 807 of the family's 1533-position model. The record is from RNAcentral.
CAGUCGCCACGGUAAUACGGAGGGAGCUAGCGUUGUUCGGAAUUACUGGGCGUAAAGCGCGCGUAGGCGGUUACUCAAGUCAGAGGUGAAAGCCCGGGGCUCAACCCCGGAACUGCCUUUGAAACUAGGUGACUAGAAUCUUGGAGAGGUCAGUGGAAUUCCGAGUGUAGAGGUGAAAUUCGUAGAUAUUCGGAAGAACACCAGUGGCGAAGGCGACUGACUGGACAAGUAUUGACGCUGAGGUGCGAAAGCGUGGGGAGCAAACAGGAUUAGAUACCCGAGUAGUCCCUGUCUCUUAUAC